RNAcentral lists this ribosomal RNA (229 nucleotides) under uncultured bacterium. RNAcentral describes it as "partial 16S ribosomal RNA". It matches the Rfam family "Bacterial small subunit ribosomal RNA", at positions 568 to 796 of the family's 1533-position model. The record is from RNAcentral.
UCCGUAGGCGGGCAAUUAAGUCAGAGGUGAAAUCCCACAGCUCGACUGUGGAACUGCCUUUGAUACUGGUUGUCUUGAGUUACAGUGAAGUAGAUAGAAUAUGUAGUGUAGCGGUGAAAUGCAUAGAUAUUACAUAGAAUACCGAUUGCGAAGGCAGUCUACUAACUGUAUACUGACGCUAAUGGACGAAAGCGUGGGGAGCGAACAGGAUUAGAUACCCUGGUAGUCC